Molecule: long non-coding RNA, 417 nt
Filed under: Arabidopsis lyrata
Lineage: Eukaryota; Viridiplantae; Streptophyta; Magnoliopsida; Brassicales; Brassicaceae
Description: long non-coding RNA (ALYR_LNC000748)
Source: RNAcentral
CGAUCUCGUUCUCGUUCAAAGGAUAGAUCUGAGCGAUCUCCAUCGAAAAGGUAGCAGUUUUUUCUCAUUGGUUUACUCUUAUAUGAAAUAAUUGCUUCAAUCUAAGAAAGUUUCUAACCUCGAUAUAUAUUGUUGCAGUAAGCGAGUCAGUGGAUUCGAUAUGGCACCUCCAGCCUCUGCAAUGUUAGCUGCUGGUGCUGCUGUUACAGGUAUAUCUCUUUAAUUUAGCACCUUCUCAUUAGCGUAAUGUAGAAUUCAUACCUAAUGCACGUAGUGGGAUUGAUAAAUUCUGUUUCUCCUGAAUAACUACAAAAACAUAGGCUGUUUUCUUGUUUUUUUACAUGGGACAUAACGCUAGAACUGAGAGCUUUUGGUUGUUUGGUGGUCUUUGUGUUUCUUGUUUGCUUUUCUGUUUUG